UACGGAGGGUGCAAGCGUUAUCCGGAUUUACUGGGUUUAAAGGGUGCGUAGGUGGGUCUGUAAGUCAGUGGUGAAAUCUCCGAGCUUAACUCGGAAACUGCCAUUGAUACUAUAGAUCUUGAAUUAUCUGGAGGUGAGCGGAAUAUGUCAUGUAGCGGUGGAAUGCUUAGAUAUGACAUAGAACACCAAUUGCGAAGGCAGCUCACUACGGAUUGAUUGACACUGAGGCACGAAAGCGUGGGGAUCAAACAGG
Molecule: ribosomal RNA, 253 nt
Filed under: uncultured bacterium
Lineage: Bacteria
Description: partial 16S ribosomal RNA
Rfam family: Bacterial small subunit ribosomal RNA
Source: RNAcentral